RNAcentral lists this ribosomal RNA (440 nucleotides) under uncultured bacterium. RNAcentral's name for it is "bacterial SSU rRNA". It matches the Rfam family "Bacterial small subunit ribosomal RNA", at positions 338 to 795 of the family's 1533-position model. The record is from RNAcentral.
CCUACGGGAGGCUGCAGUGGGGAAUAUUGCACAAUGGGCGCAAGCCUGAUGCAGCGACGCCGCGUGAGCGAUGGAGGCCUUCGGGUCGUAAAGCUCUGUCCUAAGGGAAGAAUAAUGACGGUACCCUAGGAGGAAGCGCCGGCUAACUACGGGCCAGCAGCCGCGGUAAUACGUAGGGGGGGAGCGUUAUCCGGAAUAAAUGGGCGUAAAGGGUGCGUAGGCGGCCCUGGAAGUCAGGAGUUAAAUCCCUCGGCUCAACCGACGUCAGUUCUUGAAACGGUAGGGCUUGAGUGCGGGAGAGGCGAGCGUGAUUCCGGUUGUUGAGGUGAAAGGCGUAGAUAUUAGGGGGAAUACCAGUGGUGUAGGGGGCUCUCUGGACUGCAACAGACGCUGAUGCACGAAAGCGUGGAGAGCGAACCGGAUUAGCUACCCCGGUAGUC